UCCGAGUUGUAAUUUGCAGAGGGCGCUUUGGUGUUGGCAGCGGUCCAAGUUCCUUGGAACAGGACGUCACAGAGGGUGAGAAUCCCGUACGUGGUCGCUAGCCUCCGCCGUGUAAAGCCCCUUCGACGAGUCGAGUUGUUUGGGAAUGCAGCUCUAAAUGGGAGGUAAAUUUCUUCUAAAGCUAAAUACUGGCCAGAGACCGAUAGCGCACAAGUAGAGUGAUCGAAAGAUGAAAAGCACUUUGGAAAGAGAGUCAAAUAGCACGUGAAAUUGUUGAAAGGGAAGCGCUUGCAGCCAGACUUGCCUGUAGUUGCUCAUCCGGGCUUUUGCCCGGUGCACUCUUCUACAGGCAGGCCAGCAUCAGUUUGGGCGGUUGGAUAAAGGUCUCUGUCACGUUCCUCUCUUCGGGGAGGCCAUAUAGGGGAGACGACAUACAACCAGCCUGGACUGAGGUCCGCGCAUUUGCUAGGAUGCUGGCGUAAUGGCUGUAAGCGGCCCGUCUUGAAACACGGACCAAGGAGUCUAACAUCUAUGCGAGUGUUUGGGUGUCAAGCCCGAACGCGUAAUGAAAGUGAACGGAGGUGGGAACCCUUGGGUGCACCAUCGACCGAUCCUGAUGUCUUCGGAAGGAUUUGAGUAAGAGCAUGGCUGUUGGGACCCGAAAGAUGGUGAACUAUGCUUGAAUAGGGU
This 690-nucleotide ribosomal RNA is filed under the name Sphaerellopsis macroconidialis. RNAcentral's name for it is "partial large subunit ribosomal RNA". It matches the Rfam family "Eukaryotic large subunit ribosomal RNA", at positions 137 to 847 of the family's 3401-position model. The record is from RNAcentral. Lineage: Eukaryota; Fungi; Ascomycota; Dothideomycetes; Pleosporales; Leptosphaeriaceae.